CCCUGCCGAACAACGAACCCGGGCGCGGUCCGCGCCAAGGAACUUUAACGAAAGAGUGCCUCCGGCCGCCUCGGAAACGGUGUGCGUGCGGGAGGUGAAUCUUGUCUAGAACCAUAACGACUCUCGGCAACGGAUAUCUCGGCUCUCGCAUCGAUGAAGAACGUAGCGAAAUGCGAUACUUGGUGUGAAUUGCAGAAUCCCGCGAAUCAUCGAGUCUUUGAACGCAAGUUGCGCCCGAAGCCACCUGGCCGAGGGCACGUCUGCCUGGGUGUCACGCAUCGUUGCCCCCAACCCCAUCUCCUUGCAAAGGGACGAGGGGGCCUGUGGGGCAGAAAUUGGCCUCCCGUGAGCUCAUGCAUGCGGUUGGCCUAAAAGCGAGUCCUCGGCGACGCGCGCCACGACAAUCGGUGGUUGUCAAACCCUCGUGUCCCGUCGUGCGUGCCGCGUCGCUCAUCGUGUGCUCCUUGACCCUGUUGUGUCGCGCUAGCGACGCUUCCAACGCGACCCCAGGUCAGGCGGGACUACCCGCUGAA
Molecule: ribosomal RNA, 533 nt
Filed under: embryophyte environmental sample
Lineage: Eukaryota; Viridiplantae; Streptophyta
Description: eukaryotic LSU rRNA
Rfam family: 5.8S ribosomal RNA (bases 119-274)
Source: RNAcentral